UACGUAGGGUGCAAGCGUUGUCCGGAAUUAUUGGGCGUAAAGAGCUCGUAGGCGGUCUGUCGCGUCUGCUGUGAAAACUCAGGGCUUAACCCUGAGCUUGCAGUGGGUACGGGCAGACUAGAGUGCGGUAGGGGAGACUGGAAUUCCUGGUGUAGCGGUGAAAUGCGCAGAUAUCAGGAGGAACACCGGUGGCGAAGGCGGGUCUCUGGGCCGUAACUGACGCUGAGGUGCGAAAGCGUGGGGAGCAAACAGG
This 253-nucleotide ribosomal RNA is filed under the name uncultured bacterium. RNAcentral describes it as "partial 16S ribosomal RNA". It matches the Rfam family "Bacterial small subunit ribosomal RNA", at positions 524 to 776 of the family's 1533-position model. The record is from RNAcentral.